Long non-coding RNA from Etheostoma cragini (Arkansas darter), 88 nucleotides. RefSeq lists it as uncharacterized. The transcript is spliced from 3 exons. NCBI's taxonomy places the organism in Eukaryota, Metazoa, Chordata, Actinopteri, Perciformes, Percidae. The record is from RefSeq and is a predicted model, not a curated record.
AGGUUGGUUGGGGGGGUGGAUGGGUCAAACAACACAGGACUUUCACCCAGGGGACCGGGGUUUGUGUCUCGUUUAAAAAAUGUAAAUA